AUUGAACGCUGGCGGCAGGCUUAACACAUGCAAGUCGAGCGGGGUGAUGGUGCUUGCACUAUCACUUAGCGGCGGACGGGUGAGUAAUGCUUAGGAAUCUGCCUAUUAGUGGGGGACAACAUCUCGCAAGGGAUGCUAAUACCGCAUACGUCCUACGGGAGAAAGCAGGGGAUCACUUGUGACCUUGCGCUAAUAGAUGAGCCUAAGUCGGAUUAGCUAGUUGGUGGGGUAAAGGCCUACCAAGGCGACGAUCUGUAGCGGGUCUGAGAGGAUGAUCCGCCACACUGGGACUGGGACACGGCCCAGACUCCUACGGGAGGCAGCAGUGGGGAAUAUUGGACAAUGGGGGGAACCCUGAUCCAGCCAUGCCGCGUGUGGGAAGAAGGCCUUAUGGUUGUAAAGCACUUUAAGCGAGGAGGAGGCUCUUUUGGUUAAUACCCAAGAUGAGUGGACGUUACUCGCAGAAUAAGCACCGGCUAACUCUGUGCCAGCCGCCGCGGUAA
This 503-nucleotide ribosomal RNA is filed under the name uncultured bacterium. Its description in RNAcentral is "partial 16S ribosomal RNA". It matches the Rfam family "Bacterial small subunit ribosomal RNA", at positions 30 to 523 of the family's 1533-position model. The record is from RNAcentral.